GCCUUGAUGGUGAAAUGGUAGACACGUGAAACUCAAAAUCUUGUACUAAAUAGCGUGGAGGUUCGAGUCAUCUUCAAGGCA
This is a non-coding RNA of Amborella trichopoda, 81 nucleotides long. The record is from Rfam. NCBI's taxonomy places the organism in Eukaryota, Viridiplantae, Streptophyta, Magnoliopsida, Amborellales, Amborellaceae.